CUCAAUCUCCAAUGGAUUUUGUAAAGGCAAAAAUUUCCAAAAAACUCAUACAAACCUUGUAGGUGCCUGCUUUGUAUACACAUACCAUAAAUAUAUAUACACACAUAGACUACACUGAUCAUUGAUUUGAUUCGCAUGAGAUUGUCAACAUACCCACAAAUCAUUGCACUUAAGGCUAGUGGACACUGGUCAAUUCUAAUGCCAGUGGUGGGCAGUGAAUUAGUGCUAUCCACGAAUGCAGGGAGCAUAUCAGCUGUCAUCGCUAAGAAAGUAUGGCAGAAAAUAAUUAGUAAUAUCAAACUUCAUAUAUAUACAAUCUUCUACUCUUGAUUACCAAGAAUUACAUUGCAAAGUUAUUCAAGGCUAUUGAUGCCCGAAAAAAUCAGGGCCACCCUCAACAUCAUCAACUUUGAUGCUUCCACUUUUGUAUAUUAGUUCUUUUCCAUGAACAAAUUCAAUAUCACAUCAAAUUUCACCUUAUUCUUAUAACAUGGCAUGAAGUCAUGAAACAGAUAACUAAUUAGUCUGCAAAGAGUUUACAAAAGAAUCAUCGUGGUUGGUCGGUACGAGUGACCAAAAACCCUAUAUAAGAUUGAAUGUUCAAUUCUCUUUAAUGGAGAAAAUUUUGACCUAACUCAGUGGAUUAAGA
This 649-nucleotide unclassified non-coding RNA is filed under the name Hevea brasiliensis (rubber tree). Lineage: Eukaryota; Viridiplantae; Streptophyta; Magnoliopsida; Malpighiales; Euphorbiaceae. The record is from RNAcentral.